CAACCUGCCUCAUACAGAGGGAUAAUCAUGUGAAAACGUGACUAAUACCGCAUGUCAUUACCGGAGGGCAUCCUCCGGUAAGAAAAGGAGCAAUCCGGUAUGAGAUGGGCCCGCAUCUGAUUAGCUAGUUGGUGAGAUAACAGCCCACCAAGGCGACGAUCAGUAGCCGACCUGAGAGGGUGAUCGGCCACAUUGGGACUGAGACACGGCCCAA
RNAcentral lists this ribosomal RNA (214 nucleotides) under uncultured bacterium. RNAcentral's name for it is "partial 16S ribosomal RNA". It matches the Rfam family "Bacterial small subunit ribosomal RNA", at positions 122 to 334 of the family's 1533-position model. The record is from RNAcentral.